AGUGAACGCUGGCGGUAGGCCUAACACAUGCAAGUCGAACGGCAGCACAGUAAGAGCUUGCUCUUACGGGUGGCGAGUGGCGGACGGGUGAGGAAUACAUCGUAAUCUACUUUUUCGUGGGGGAUAACGUAGGGAAACUUACGCUAAUACCGCAUACGACCUACGGGUGAAAGCAGGGGAUCUUCGGACCUUGCGCGAUUGAAUGAGCCGAUGUCGGAUUAGCCAGUUGGCGGGGUAAAGGCCCACCAAGGCGACGAUCCGUAGCUGGUCUGAGAGGAUGAUCAGCCACACUGGAACUGGGACACGGUCCAGACUCCUACGGGAGGCAGCAGUGGGGAAUAUUGGACAAUGGGCGCAAGCCUGAUCCAGCCAUACCGCGUGGGUGAAGAAGGCCUUCGGGUUGUAAAGCCCUUUUGUUGGGAAAGAAAAGCAGCAGGUUAAUACCACGCUGUUCUGACGGUACCCAAAGAAUAAGCACCGGCUAACUUCGUG
This 492-nucleotide ribosomal RNA is filed under the name uncultured bacterium. RNAcentral's name for it is "partial 16S ribosomal RNA". It matches the Rfam family "Bacterial small subunit ribosomal RNA", at positions 29 to 507 of the family's 1533-position model. The record is from RNAcentral.